This 492-nucleotide ribosomal RNA is filed under the name uncultured bacterium. Its description in RNAcentral is "partial 16S ribosomal RNA". It matches the Rfam family "Bacterial small subunit ribosomal RNA", at positions 29 to 507 of the family's 1533-position model. The record is from RNAcentral.
AGUGAACGCUGGCGGUAGGCCUAACACAUGCAAGUCGAACGGCAGCACAGUAAGAGCUUGCUCUUACGGGUGGCGAGUGGCGGACGGGUGAGGAAUACAUCGGAAUCUACUUUUUCGUGGGGGAUAACGUAGGGAAACUUACGCUAAUACCGCAUACGACCUACGGGUGAAAGCAGGGGAUCUUCGGACCUUGCGCGAUUGAAUGAGCCGAUGUCGGAUUAGCUAGUUGGCGGGGUAAAGGCCCACCAAGGCGACGAUCCGUAGCUGGUCUGAGAGGAUGAUCAGCCACACUGUAACUGAGACACGGUCCAGACUCCUACGGGAGGCAGCAGUGGGGAAUAUUAGACAAUGGGCGCAAGCCUGAUCCAGCCAUACCGCGUGGGUGAAGAAGGCCUUCGGGUUGUAAAGCCCUUUUGUUGGGAAAGAAAAGCAGCAGGUUAAUACCCCGCUGUUCUGACGGUACCCAAAGAAUAAGCACCGGCUAACUUCGUG